UCCGUAGGCGGGCAAUUAAGUCAGAGGUGAAAUCCGACAGCUCAACUGUGGAACUGCCUUUGAUACUGGUUGUCUUGAGUUAUAGUGAAGUAGAUAGAAUAUGUAGUGUAGCGGUGAAAUGCAUAGAUAUUACAUAGAAUACCGAUUGCGAAGGCAGUCUACUAACUGUACACUGACGCUAAUGGACGAAAGCGUGGGGAGCGAACAGGAUUAGAUACCCUGGUAGUCC
This 229-nucleotide ribosomal RNA is filed under the name uncultured bacterium. RNAcentral's name for it is "partial 16S ribosomal RNA". It matches the Rfam family "Bacterial small subunit ribosomal RNA", at positions 568 to 796 of the family's 1533-position model. The record is from RNAcentral.